GUAAACGGAAUUAAAGUACCAGCACCAGUAUGUAUUUUGUAUGCAUUCUUUUUACAACAAUUUAUGCAACAAGAAAUCAACUAAAGUUUAAUUUUGAUUCUGAUGGU
This is a non-coding RNA of Tribolium castaneum (red flour beetle), 107 nucleotides long. NCBI's taxonomy places the organism in Eukaryota, Metazoa, Arthropoda, Insecta, Coleoptera, Tenebrionidae. The record is from RefSeq and is marked provisional.